AUGCAAUCUUAUAAUGUAUUUCUAGGAUCUCAUGUCAAUAAUAAAUUUAUUUUCUUCUUUAAUUGAAUGAAAGUGGCUUUUGAAAAUAUUGCACUGGGAAUUUUCCUCUUCUUCCAGAUUACGGUAGGAAUGAUUGGAAAUUUCGCAAUACUAUUUUAUUAUGUCACUCUGAAAUUCACUGGAAAACAUUUAAUGCCCAAAGACCUAAUCAUAGAGCACUUGACUUUUGCCAGUUGCCUCUUUAUCAUCUCAAAAGGCAUUCCACAGACACUGUCAGAUUAUGGAUUAAAAGAUUUCCUGGAUGAUAUUGGAUGCAAAGUGAUAAUGUAUAUUUACCGAAUAACAAGGGGGAUGUCCCUGUAUGCAAUGUGCCUAUUGAGUUGCUUCCAAGCAAUCACAAUCAGCCACAGCAACUCCAGGUGGAUGAUGCUUAAACACAGAGCCACCAAGUACCUUGGUCCCUCCUGUUCACUCAGCUGGCUUGUGCACUUAUUUCUAAAUAUCUUGACUCCAGCAAGAGUGUCAGGUCCAAGUUACAACAAAAAUACAACUAACGGGAUGAUUUAUGGUUACUGUUCAUGGUUUGCUUCAGGCAAUUUUGCAACUGCACUGUAUGUGUUCUUAUUGUGCUUCUGUGAUGGACUGUGUCUGGGCCUCAUGGCCUGUUCAAGUGUCUCCAUGGUGAGUAUCCUCUACAGACAUAAGAAACAAGUCAAUCAUAUUCACAGUGCUCAGGAUUUUUUAAAAGUCUCUCCUGAAAACAGAGCUAUGAAAACUAUCCUCAUCUUGGUGUGCACUUUUAUCCUCUCUUAUUCAUUCUCCUCUACUGUGGCUGUCUUUACAACCUAUUCUAAAUAUCCAGAGCUUUGGGGAGUAAGUAUAUUUACAUUUCUAGAAAUAUGCUUUCCCAUAUUUUGCCCCUUUGUUCUCAUCAACAAUAUGAAGUCUAGUUCCAGUCUGCUUCUACCCUGCUUUCACAGUAGAUAACUUUCUCAAA
Molecule: RNA transcript, 997 nt
Organism: Grammomys surdaster
Lineage: Eukaryota; Metazoa; Chordata; Mammalia; Rodentia; Muridae
Gene name: vomeronasal type-1 receptor 4-like
Exons: 1
Source: RefSeq, a predicted model, not a curated record